Molecule: ribosomal RNA, 669 nt
Filed under: Triticum aestivum (bread wheat)
Lineage: Eukaryota; Viridiplantae; Streptophyta; Magnoliopsida; Poales; Poaceae
Description: partial small subunit ribosomal RNA
Source: RNAcentral
AUGAUGUUCGAAGAGGCGGUCUGCAAGCUCGCUGCCGACAUAGCGGCGAUCUCGCCGGCAGUGGUGAAGAAGGCCGUGGACGCACUGGCGCGCAGCAGCCGUGCCUGCGCCGCUGCGGAUGCCUUCAUCCACCUGUUCCUGGGCACGUUGUACGUGAUCGUCGCGGCAAUUUUCUUCGACACGGUCGCGGUCCGGGUCUGCGGCGGCGACUACGCCGCGAGAUCCGUCCUGUCCGAGAUCACGGGAUGCAUCUUUACAGCCUCCCUGCUUCUUUCAGCGCCGGCGUUCCUGCUCUUCUUCCUGCGCGCAGCAGGGAGCAGCAGCGAGCUGGCGGAGGGCCUCCUCAUGAAGGAUUUCGAUGAGCGGCUUUCUUGUGCCCCUGAAAGCCCUCCGUCUCCGCUAGGCAGGGCAGCUGCACGGCUUUUUGCUUGGUCAUUUUGGUUGGGAUUCAUCUCGUGGACUCUUCAGCUGUGUGGACUAUUUCCAGAGAUUUCUGACCUUCUUGACGACGCGUCUAAUCUGGGCAUCUGGUCAUGUUUCGCUCUCAUCUAUUUGCGUGCUGGAAUGGCGCUGCGGAGGAUGAAUCCCAGGCCCAGCGACAUCAUCGCGGCAGAGGCAGAUCACGCGGCUUCACCUACUCAGGAUUUCGAGCUGGGAGCAGCAAGGUGA